CAGUCGCGUUCUCUGGGAUUCAGCCUUGCUUCUUGCUUGGUGCAUUUCCUAGUCUACGGGCCAGCAUGAAUCUUGAGCGGUGGAAAAGGGUUUGGGGAAUGUGGCACCUCCGGGUGUGUUAAGCCCUGGACUUGAUACGGCUCUGGGGACAGAGGACCGCAGCGCGCCUUCUUGGCAUUGGCUUCGGCCUUUUCCGCGCUAAGGAUUCUGGCUUAAUGGCUUUAAGCGACCCGUCUUGAAACACGGACCAAGGAGUCUAGCAUAUAUGCGAGUGUU
This 276-nucleotide ribosomal RNA is filed under the name Acaulospora scrobiculata. Lineage: Eukaryota; Fungi; Glomeromycota; Glomeromycetes; Diversisporales; Acaulosporaceae. The record is from RNAcentral.